UCCCAGACUCCUACGGGAGGCAGCAGUGGGGAAUAUUGCACAAUGGGGGAAACCCUGAUGCAGCAACGCCGCGUGAGUGAAGAAGUAUUUCGGUAUGUAAAGCUCUAUCAGCAGGGAAGAAAAUGACAGUACCUGACUAAGAAGCCCCGGCUAACUACGUGCCAGCAGCCGCGGUAAUACGUAGGGGGCAAGCGUUAUCCGGAUUUACUGGGUGUAAAGGGAGCGUAGACGGCACGGCAAGCCUGAUGUGAAAGCCCGCGGCCCAACCGCGGGACUGCAUUGGGAACUACCGGGCUGGAGUGCCGGAGAGGUAGGCGGAAUUCCUAGUGUAGCGGUGAAAUGCGUAGAUAUUAGGAGGAACACCAGUGGCGAAGGCGGGCUGCUGGACAGCAACUGACGCUGAGGCGCGAAAGCGUGGGGAGCAAACAGGAUUAGAUACCCCGGUAAA
This 448-nucleotide ribosomal RNA is filed under the name uncultured bacterium. RNAcentral describes it as "bacterial SSU rRNA". It matches the Rfam family "Bacterial small subunit ribosomal RNA", at positions 329 to 794 of the family's 1533-position model. The record is from RNAcentral.